Small nucleolar RNA from Tachyglossus aculeatus (Australian echidna), 138 nucleotides. The record is from RefSeq and is a predicted model, not a curated record. Lineage: Eukaryota; Metazoa; Chordata; Mammalia; Monotremata; Tachyglossidae.
CCCCUCUCAGGAUCACACUUGGAGAUUUUCCAGUACUCUACCAGUCUCGGCUAUGGGAGGGAGAGUCAAGCAGAGGUAUGCCCAUUCCAUUCCUAGCUUGAGUAGUGGCUGGCAGGUGGAAGGCAAUCUGCUACAAGU